AGAGAGAGACAUGCGCGCAUAUCAAUAAGCGGAGGAAAAGAAACUAACAAGGAUUCCCCUAGUAACGGCGAGUGAAGCGGGAAGAGCUCAAAUUUGAAAUCUUAAAGGGUUUCCCUUUACGAAUUGUAGUUUAAAGAAGUGUUUUCUGUUGAGGUUUUGGUAAAAGUUCUUUGGAAUAGGACAUCAUAGAGGGUGAGAAUCCCGUAUUUGACCUUUACUUUCAACUUUGUGAUACACUUUCAAAGAGUCGGAUUGUUUGGGAAUGCAGUCCAAAAUGGGUGGUAAAUUUCAUCUAAAGCUAAAUAUUGGCGAGAGACCGAUAGCGAACAAGUACCGUGAGGGAAAGAUGAAAAGAACUUUGAAAAGAGAGUUAAACAGCUACGUGAAAUUGUCAAAAGGGAAGCGUUUGACACCAGUGUUGUUUUUCUGAAAAUCAAUUAAAGAACUGUUUAUGCUAAGUUGUUUAGACUUUAUCAGCUAACUGUUUAGUUUUGAGCUUUUCUUUAAUGCACUUUUCAGUUAACAAGUCAACAUCAAUUUCUUUUGCUGUAAAAAAGCUUGAGGAAGGUGGCUUGAGAUUCGUCUUAAGUGUUUAUAGCCUCUUGCCUAUGCAGUCGGAGAGAUUGAGGUCUGCAGCGUAGAUCCUUCGGGGCUAAAUGCAUUUGUGCUAAGUUAUAGCAUUUUAUAGACAACUUGUUGACUAUGAUUUGUCUUGUAGCUUACUCGCUUAUGUUAUUUUACCUACGCUUAGGAUGUUGACGCAUGAGAUAUACGC
Molecule: ribosomal RNA, 775 nt
Filed under: uncultured Neocallimastigales
Lineage: Eukaryota; Fungi; Neocallimastigomycota; Neocallimastigomycetes; Neocallimastigales
Description: partial large subunit ribosomal RNA
Rfam family: Eukaryotic large subunit ribosomal RNA
Source: RNAcentral